RNAcentral lists this long non-coding RNA (242 nucleotides) under Capsicum annuum. RNAcentral describes it as "long non-coding RNA (CANN_LNC000935)". The record is from RNAcentral. Lineage: Eukaryota; Viridiplantae; Streptophyta; Magnoliopsida; Solanales; Solanaceae.
CUCCCCUUUAACCAUGUUAUUGGUCCCCGAAUAAUCAAUCUAAUAUUUACCAUGCCUUUUGUUUUCCUGACCCUUUUUUUUAUUAUUCAAAAGCAUGUUGAUGACCACCAAAAAUAUUUAAACAUCACAUGAGGGAGUUCUUGUUUCAAAACACAUGAAAACUUAUGCAAACUACUUUCUUUUCAAUAGUUUAUUAUACGGUGGUCAUAUUUUUCAUCAAUCACAAGAAAAUUCUUUAUUAG